ACCUGCGGAGGGAUGAUUACUGGAGUUACCGCUCUACAACGCUUUGUGAACAUACCUUAACUGUUGCUUCGGCGGGCAGGAGGACAACCCCCCUCGGGGGGCGGUCCCCCUCCCGGCCGCGCCCUCACGGGCGUGGCGCCCGCCGGAGGAUACCAAAACUCUAUUUGUAACGACGUUUCUCUCUGAGGUGGCACAAGCAAAUAAUGUAAAACUUUUAACAACGGAUCUCUUGGUUCUGGCAUCGAUGAAGAACGCAGCGAAAUGCGAUAAGUAAUGUGAAUUGCAGAAUUCAGUGAAUCAUCGAAUCUUUGAACGCACAUUGCGCCCGCCAGCAUUCUGGCGGGCAUGCCUGGUUUCGAGCGUGAUUUCAACCCUCAAGCCCAGCUUGGUGUUGGGGGGCUACGGUCGACGUAGGCCCUUAAAGGUGGUGGCGGAGCCUCCCGGAGCCUCCUUUGCGUAGUAACUUAACGUCUCGCACUGGGAUCCGGAGGGACUCUUGCCGUUAAACCCUCAAAACUUUUACUGUUGACCUUCGGAUCAGUAGAUACCGCUGACUUAAGCUAUCAUACCGAGAGAG
This 577-nucleotide ribosomal RNA is filed under the name Colletotrichum trifolii. RNAcentral describes it as "eukaryotic LSU rRNA". The stretch from base 210 to 363 matches the Rfam family "5.8S ribosomal RNA". The record is from RNAcentral. Lineage: Eukaryota; Fungi; Ascomycota; Sordariomycetes; Glomerellales; Glomerellaceae.